CAUCCCGGGAAUUUUCUGGAAACAGAAAAGUGCUUCUUUAUAGAAGAGCCCCGGAGACAGGUGCUGCAUGGCUGUCGUCAGCUCGUGUCGUGAGAUGUUGGGUUAAGUCCCGUAACGAGCGCAACCCACGCCUUUAGUUGCCAUCAUUCAGUUGGGCACUCUAGAGGGACAGCCCCGGUUAACGGGGAGGAAGGUGUGGAUGACGUCAAGUCCUCAUGGCCCUUAUGGCCAGGGCUACACACGUACUACAAUGGGCGGUACAAAGGGCAGCUACAUCGCGAGGUGGAGCCAAUCCCCCAAAACCGUUCUCAGUCCGGAUCGGAGUCUGCAACUCGACUCCGUGAAGUUGGAAUCGCUAGUAAUCGUGGAUCAGCAAGCCACGGUGAAUACGUUCCCGGGCCUUGUACACACCGCCCGUCUC
This 421-nucleotide ribosomal RNA is filed under the name uncultured delta proteobacterium. RNAcentral's name for it is "bacterial SSU rRNA". It matches the Rfam family "Bacterial small subunit ribosomal RNA", at positions 985 to 1400 of the family's 1533-position model. Lineage: Bacteria; Deltaproteobacteria. The record is from RNAcentral.